Molecule: long non-coding RNA, 1566 nt
Filed under: Homo sapiens (human)
Lineage: Eukaryota; Metazoa; Chordata; Mammalia; Primates; Hominidae
Description: non-protein coding lnc-SNX12-1:1
Source: RNAcentral
GUGGAUAAAGUGGGAAAAAAUGUGGAAUAACUUCAAAUACAGGUAACAGAAUGUCUUCAGUCAUGAGGGAGGAAGCCGUAGUGAAAAUCUGGAUAUGAACUCCGACAGAUAUUUGUCAAAAAGAAAAAACAUCAAUAUAGGAGACUCAGCUGCUCGGCAACAAAGUAAUCCCUUAAGAGAAAAUGUUGCCUUACACCUGGCAUGCCAGGCCCUUCAAAGAAUUCUUCAAAGAGAAACCAACAUUGUGCCACUGAAAUCCCUCAAAUUGUUGAAAUAAGUAUCAAAAAGGAUAAUGAUUUUUGUGUUACCCCAGGAACAAGACUUGCACGAAGAGAUUCCUACUUUUGACAUGCUCCAUGGGGUGGGAAGAGAAACAUUUCUGUUACAGUGACCCAGGAUUCAUUGGAUACUGAUAAAAAGUUUGGUAGAACUCAAAGUGGACUUCAAAGGAGAGAGAGGUGCUAAGCUCUGUACAGGACAUGGACAAUGUUUCCAGAAGAACUGUAGGGAAGUCGCUCUCUGAGACAGGUUGCAGGAUACUGUGGGCUUGUGUUUUCCCAUGAGAACUUAUAACAAGCAGUCAAAGCCUCUCUUUUCCAAUAAAAGAAAAAUCUAUUUUUCUGAAUGAAUGCUGGAGAAAUGCCCUUUUCCUGCUGGCUCAGAUUUAGCCCCCAAAUGGCAUUUGAUUAAACAGCAUACAGCUCCUGUGAGCCCACAUUCAACAUUUUUUGAUGCAUUUGAUCCAUCUUUGUUGGUUUCUACAGAAGAUGAAGAUAGUUUAGAGAGAGAAGACUGCUUAGUAUUGAAGAAGGGGUUGAUCCCCCUCCCGAUGCACAAAUGCAUAUGUUUGAAGCGACUGCACAGGUUAAUCCAUUAAAUAAACUGGGACCAAAGUUAGCUCCUGGAACGACUGAAAUAAGUGGGGACAGUUCUGCAGUUCCACAUGCUAAUUGUGACCUGAAAGAGUAUACAGCCACCCUGUGUUUGCAGCCAUGGAGGGCAGAAGCAGCAUGAGGUACAUGCCCAUGUUAGCAGACAGGGAGCUUGGGAAGUCCACACACAGGCUGAUUACAGAUACUGCUUCAGACUACAGGGAAUCCUUGUUAUUGGAGAGUGAUGGACCGUUAUGAAUCAGAAGCCCUUCUAGAAGGGAAAUGUGAAGACACAUUUUUGCUCAGGGAUGCUGGGCAAAGGGACUGCCUCUUCUCUAUGAACUUCUGGGGCUACAACAGAUCCUUGCAGGCCUGAAUUGAGCAGUAAUCACAACUUUGGUUUUGAUGCCCAUGACCCCUGUUUAUGUCACUCCUCCACUGUAACAGGACUUUAAGAACAUUAUAAAGAUCCCAGUUAUUGCAUGUUUUUUGAACUGUUGCUUACUAUAUUACUAGAUAGGACUUUCCCUUUUAGCUGUAGUAUAUCUGUUGUACAGUAAUCUGCAGGUGUACUACAUAUGAUGGAAUUAAUGGGCUCCCUUUACCAUCAAUGUUACAAGAUUUUUGAAAAGAGUAUCUUUAUAAACAAAAAUUUAGGGUUCACUAGUGAGAACGAGAACCAGUCAAGGCAAAG